UAGAUAUGGGCCUAAAUUCAAUAAUCAAAACUCGACAUUUUAAACUUCAAUGGUCAAUACGUAAGUUCAUUGACCCUUGGAACAAUUAACUCGAAAAAAAGGUAGUUGCCCAACGAGUCCCCUUACCGCAUCCUCCUGCAAAACUUGACAUAUCUGUCCAUCGAGUCCGUGUCCAUUACUACAGAGCUUCAUAUUCCCUCUGUAUGAUAUCACAGAACCAAGACAUGUUCGCCCCGCAAUUCAAUCUCUGCUAAGAAAACUUUAGAGCCCACAUGGCCAAAACUAGUUGUGCCAUUGGAAAAGAUCAUAGACAGGCUAUCCAUAGUUUGGGGAUAGUGAAUCAUCUUAGUUCUGUCAAGGACUCUCCGGAGCUCCGGGCGGCAAUCGAACAAGUUCAGCCCGAAAAAGUUGAGUUUCAGUUGAAAUUAGGACAGAGUAAGCCCAUCUA
Long non-coding RNA from Olea europaea var. sylvestris, 448 nucleotides. RefSeq lists it as uncharacterized. The transcript has 3 exons. NCBI's taxonomy places the organism in Eukaryota, Viridiplantae, Streptophyta, Magnoliopsida, Lamiales, Oleaceae. The record is from RefSeq and is a predicted model, not a curated record.